UGUGGGUACGGACCAGUGGAAUUUUGGCCAAAGACUAUAAAGAGUUAACAAACCCUUGCAUCAGGUGAGGCAAGAAACUCAAGUCAAGAACCCACUUGUGGGCAGCAGAUGGGGUCUCUGUGCCUAAGUUGCCUCAUCUCUUAGCUGAGGAGUUUGUCCAGAUCGGAAAAGACUGUUUGUAGUUGUCUCUUAGUAACAUCCAUCCCAUGGCUUAAUUCCUGAUAACACAAAGUACAGCAAAUAUACAACAAAGCACAGGGCUGGCCAAGAACACAAGGUAGUGCCAAUAGGAAGAAGGGGUCAGAGUCCAAGGUACUGGGCCACCAGCUUUGUCCACGCUAGGGCACCGCUGUGUCAAGAACAGAAGUGCAUGCAGAGGCAGGGCUGUCUGCACCAGCAGAUGGCCUUUCAAGGGCCUCUCCAUGCACGAGGUGGUAGGUCUCAGCCUCGGCGAGCUCACCCAGGGGACGGACACUAUAAAACUUACCGGCAGAGGUCUGAGAAGCCCUAGCUGCUGCGGCUUUCUCCGGUGAGGGCCUGUGACUGCCCAGGAAGGUGUAUCCGUUGCGCAUGCACGUACCUGCAAAGGCGUGCAUCGUGCGUGCGCUGGCCCGGAAAUACGUGCUCGUCCAUGCAAGUCUGCGCAUGCGUAUGGGCGCAUACGUGCCUACGCGGGUGCGCACAGACAGACACAGUGGCCACGUUAUUUGUGAGCCUCGGAUCAGAUAAGAGGACGCAGUCACCUACAUGUUUGUGCGGGGUCGUGAGGAAGGACCACAAGAAGUACACUGAGCCUUCGCCGGUAGGACUUCAGGGAGGGAUUACAUGCACAGGCCACAGUGGGCCUGGGGUUCUGAAGGAUACCAGACUCCAAGCAGGCCGGGUUAAAGACAGCGGGCAAGAGAGGACCUGCAGCUGCGUGGCCAGUCAUCAGAACACUCCAGGAUACUUCACGAUGGUGCCUUCACAAAACCUCAAGGAGCCAGCGGGACCCAGGCUGCUCUGUGCCCAUCAGGUAUGGAACAAGGUCUUCCAGGUCCUUUCAGCUUUGUACAGUCACAGUUUGGGUGCCUCUAAGAAAAUAAUAAAGUGUGUCCCCAGUUCAUCAGAGAAAACUGAAUGCUUUAAAUCUCUGUAA
This 1138-nucleotide long non-coding RNA is filed under the name Fukomys damarensis (Damara mole-rat). Its description in RNAcentral is "lncRNA (ENSFDAG00000027419.1)". Lineage: Eukaryota; Metazoa; Chordata; Mammalia; Rodentia; Bathyergidae. The record is from RNAcentral.